CUCCUCCGUGAAAAGAUAUUCAUCCUCCGUAAUCUAUAAAUAAAACACCAAAUAAAUUCAAUUAAAUCAAAAAAAAUGAAUCCCUCCUCCCUAAACCCACGUUGAAAACACUAUCUCUCUCCCCUAAAAUCUCUCCCAUAUCUUUUAACCGCCCUCCCUCUAAAUUAAAUAUUUCACAAACUCAUUCCUUCUCAUUAUCGUCUCUGCAAUCAAAUCCAUCUUCUCCAACUUCAAUCCAAGGCCGAGCCGGAGAUUCAAGAACCAUUUUUUUGAAACGUCCGUCUGCAAAUUGAAGGUGAGACCUCACAAGGGAAUCGAGAUACCAAAGGGAAGGAAGUGUAGAGAAUUAAUUCAAUUGAGGUUGAGCGGCGACGAGGUUGUGGUGGUGUUGAGCAAGUAAAUUGGUAAAUGAACUGUUGUUUUUGAAUUAUGGGUGUCGUGGUGUCUUCACACAUGACGUCACCCUUACUCUUGGUCGUUUCCGCUGUGACAUUUCUUUCACUUAUCGCUUAUUGGGCUUGCAGCCUAAAUUAUUUGGAUAUUGAAUAUUUGGGAUUUUACCAAUUUAUGUCAAAUUCUCGGUCGUUUUAUUUGAAUAUUAAUUGUGGGUCAAGCUCGUUAUUAAA
Salvia splendens (bonfire salvia) is the source of this 626-nucleotide long non-coding RNA. RefSeq lists it as uncharacterized. Lineage: Eukaryota; Viridiplantae; Streptophyta; Magnoliopsida; Lamiales; Lamiaceae. The record is from RefSeq and is a predicted model, not a curated record. The transcript is spliced from 4 exons.